AGUGAACGCUGGCGGUAGGCCUAACACAUGCAAGUCGAACGGCAGCACAGUAAGAGCUUGCUCUUACGGGUGGCGAGUGGCGGACGGUUGAGGAAUACAUCGGAAUCUACUUUUUCGUGGGGGAUAACGUAGGGAAACUUACGCUAAUACCGCAUACGACCUACGGGUGAAAGCAGGGGAUCUUCGGACCUUGCGCGAUUGAAUGAGCCGAUGUCGGAUUAGCUAGUUGGCGGGGUAAAGGCCCACCAAGGCCACGAUCCGUAGCUGGUCCGAGCGGAUCGACCGCCACCCUGGAAGUGAGAAACGGUACCGACUCUUACGGGGGGACGCAGCGGAGACUACUGGACAAUGGGGGAAAGCCUGAUCUAGCCAUACCGCGUGGGUGAAGAAGGACCUCGGGUUGUAAAGUCAUUUUGUUGGGAAAGAAAAGCAGCAGGUUAAUCCCCCGCUGUUCUGACGGUACCCAAAGAAUAAGCACCGGCUAACUUCGUG
Molecule: ribosomal RNA, 492 nt
Filed under: uncultured bacterium
Lineage: Bacteria
Description: partial 16S ribosomal RNA
Rfam family: Bacterial small subunit ribosomal RNA
Source: RNAcentral